RNAcentral lists this ribosomal RNA (492 nucleotides) under uncultured bacterium. RNAcentral describes it as "partial 16S ribosomal RNA". It matches the Rfam family "Bacterial small subunit ribosomal RNA", at positions 29 to 507 of the family's 1533-position model. The record is from RNAcentral.
AGUGAACGCUGGCGGUAGGCCUAACACAUGCAAGUCGAACGGCAGCACAGUAAGAGCUUGCUCUUACGGGUGGCGAGUGGCGGACGGGUGAGGAAUACAUCGGAAUCUACUUUUUCGUGGGGGAUAACGUAGGGAAACUUACGCUAAUACCGCAUACGACCUACGGGUGAAAGCAGGGGAUCUUCGGACCUUGCGCGAUUGAAUGAGCCGAUGUCGGAUUAGCUAGUUGGCGGGGUAAAGGCCCACCAAGGCGACGAUCCGUAGCUGGUCUGAGAGGAUGAUCAGCAACACUGGAACUGAGACACGGUCCAGACUCCUACGGGAGGCAGCAGUGGGGAAUAUUGGACAAUGGGCGCAGGCCUGAUCCAGCCAUACCGCGUGGGUGAAGAAGGCAUUCGGGUUGUAAAGCCCUUUUGUUGGGAAAGAAAAGCAGCAGGUUAAUACCCCGCUGUUCUGACGGUACCCAAAGAAUAAGCACCGGCUAACUUCGUG